RNAcentral lists this ribosomal RNA (458 nucleotides) under uncultured Allobrachymonas sp. RNAcentral describes it as "bacterial SSU rRNA". It matches the Rfam family "Bacterial small subunit ribosomal RNA", at positions 919 to 1382 of the family's 1533-position model. The record is from RNAcentral. Lineage: Bacteria; Pseudomonadati; Pseudomonadota; Betaproteobacteria; Burkholderiales; Comamonadaceae.
ACCCGCACAAGCGGUGGAUGAUGUGGUUAAUUCGAUGCAACGCGAAAAACCUUACCCACCUUUGACAUGGCAGGAAUCCUAAAGAGAUUUGGGAGUGCUCGAAAGAGAACCUGCACACAGGUGCUGCAUGGCUGUCGUCAGCUCGUGUCGUGAGAUGUUGGGUUAAGUCCCGCAACGAGCGCAACCCUUGCCAUUAGUUGCUACGAAAGGGCACUCUAAUGGGACUGCCGGUGACAAACCGGAGGAAGGUGGGGAUGACGUCAAGUCCUCAUGGCCCUUAUAGGUGGGGCUACACACGUCAUACAAUGGCCGGUACAGAGGGUAGCCAACCCGCGAGGGGGAGCCAAUCCCACAAAGCCGGUCGUAGUCCGGAUCGCAGUCUGCAACUCGACUGCGUGAAGUCGGAAUCGCUAGUAAUCGCGGAUCAGCAUGUCGCGGUGAAUACGUUCCCGGGUCUU